This 369-nucleotide ribosomal RNA is filed under the name uncultured soil bacterium. RNAcentral's name for it is "bacterial SSU rRNA". It matches the Rfam family "Bacterial small subunit ribosomal RNA", at positions 26 to 422 of the family's 1533-position model. The record is from RNAcentral.
AGAACGAACGCUGGCGGCAUGCCUAAUACAUGCAAGUCGAACGAACACUUCGGUGUUAGUGGCGCACGGGUGCGUAACGCGUGGGAAUCUGCCCUUGGGUUCGGAAUAACAGUUGGAAACGACUGCUAAUACCGGAUGAUAUCGAAAGAUCAAAGAUUUAUCGCCCAGGGAUGAGCCCGCGUAGGAUUAGCUAGUUGGUGAGGUAAAGGCUCACCAAGGCGACGAUCCUUAGCUGGUCUGAGAGGAUGAUCAGCCACACUGGGACUGAGACACGGUCCAGACUCCUACGGGAGGCAGCAGUAGGGAAUAUUGGACAAUGGGCGCAAGCCUGAUCCAGCCAUGCCGCGUGUGUAGAAGAAGGCCUUCGGG